RNAcentral lists this ribosomal RNA (618 nucleotides) under Bacillus sp. HPC932. RNAcentral describes it as "bacterial SSU rRNA". It matches the Rfam family "Bacterial small subunit ribosomal RNA", at positions 26 to 630 of the family's 1533-position model. Lineage: Bacteria; Bacillati; Bacillota; Bacilli; Caryophanales; Bacillaceae. The record is from RNAcentral.
GGAGACGCUGGCGGCGUGCCUAUACAUGCAAGUCGAGCGGAUCGAUGGGAGCUUGCUCCCUGAGAUCAGCGGCGGACGGGUGAGUAACACGUGGGUAACCUGCCUGUAAGACUGGGAUAACUCCGGGAAACCGGGGCUAAUACCGGAUAACACCUACCCCCGCAUGGGGGAAGGUUGAAAGGUGGCUUCGGCUAUCACUUACAGAUGGACCCGCGGCGCAUUAGCUAGUUGGUGAGGUAAUGGCUCACCAAGGCGACGAUGCGUAGCCGACCUGAGAGGGUGAUCGGCCACACUGAGGACUGAGACACGGCCCAGACUCCUACGGGAGGCAGCAGUAGGGAAUCUUCCGCAAUGGACGAAAGUCUGACGGAGCAACGCCGCGUGAGUGAAGAAGGUUUUCGGAUCGUAAAACUCUGUUGUUAGGGAAGAACAAGUGCCGUUCGAAUAGGGCGGCGCCUUGACGGUACCUAACCAGAAAGCCACGGCUAACUACGUGCCAGCAGCCGCGGUAAUACGUAGGUGGCAAGCGUUGUCCGGAAUUAUUGGGCGUAAAGCGCGCGCAGGUGGUUUCUUAAGUCUGAUGUGAAAGCCCACGGCUCAACCGUGGAGGGUCAUAGA